UCUUACGGGGGACAGCAGUAGGGAAUCUUCCACAAUGGGCGAAAGCCUGAUGGAGCAACGCCGCGUGGGUGAAGAAGGCCUUCGGAUCGUAAAACCAUGUUGUUAGAGAAGAAAGUGCGUGAGAGAAACUGUUCACGUUUCGACGGUAUCUAACCAGAAAGCCACGGCUAACUACGUGCAAGCAGCCGCGGAAAUACGUAGGUGGCAAGCGUUAUCCGGAUUUAUUGGGCGUAAAGGGAAGGCAGGCGGUCUUUUAAGUAUG
RNAcentral lists this ribosomal RNA (262 nucleotides) under uncultured bacterium. Its description in RNAcentral is "partial 16S ribosomal RNA". It matches the Rfam family "Bacterial small subunit ribosomal RNA", at positions 337 to 591 of the family's 1533-position model. The record is from RNAcentral.